This 2807-nucleotide long non-coding RNA is filed under the name Pogona vitticeps (central bearded dragon). RNAcentral describes it as "lncRNA (ENSPVIG00000015235.1)". The record is from RNAcentral. Lineage: Eukaryota; Metazoa; Chordata; Lepidosauria; Squamata; Agamidae.
GCAGGAGUUUGCGGGCGAGCCUUGCGCGCCUUCCUUGGGUCACGUCGUGGCGAGGCAGAGGUGGGGGGGGAGGAACUUUUCGUCCGCUUGAAGACAAACUUUUUGCCCCAUGUGCUUCUGCCUUGCGGUUUUUGUUUUUUUGCUUUCGCCUAGCGAACUUCCAACAAACAGGCCUUGGGGACGCGCACCUUUUACACGCUCAGUGAACUUGAACUCGCCAAUUUUUACACACACACGAUCCCCCCCCCACACCCCACCCGAUCUUUCACGUCCAUAAAGACGAGUCUCAGUUUCAUGCGCCUCUCUGGUUGUGCGUGCCCCGGUUUCUCCCCUAUCCUCCUGCCCCCCUGGGCGUAUAUGUGUAUAGUGUGCAAAGCCACAAACGACACGUUGCCAGUUUUGUACACUCCGGUCCCAACGUGCAAGGCUUCCUAGACUGUGCAGUGACACACAACCGGCCUGGCCUACUGCCAUCGCUCUCUGCCCCGCGCCAAAGACAACAACAGGACAUGUCCUCAGUCGUACAAAAGACACCUUCAGGUCUGACCUGCCUCGACAGACAGGUGAUCAAGGCGGCGCCGACCACAGUCCCCUUGGCUUAGACGCCACAGCUGCGCACCUCGGAGGAUAGGGAGACGAUCCCGCCCGCGCACCUCGGCUCCAGGCGCGCCGAGAGUAAAAAAAAAAAACCCAACUUAAUACAAACCGCAUAGGCACACACUAAAGUAGUCGCACCCGAUCCCCCUCGUCCAGGAGGCCAAGCAUAAAAUGAACCGCAUCCCGCUGCGUAAAGCCGCGCACCCUUUUGCGCUCCAGCCCCGCGAUCGCCGCACACCCUCUUGGCCGAGGCUGACCGGAGGGAGCCCCAGACGGGCAAUUUCCCGGACGCUCGGCAAGAGACCCUCCUCUACUCUCUCUUAGGGCAUAACACUCGCACACCCCCCGGGGCAUCACUUACCUCGUCUCGUCUUUCCUCUUCCCCACCUCACUCCCUGGUGCCAAGCCGACUCUCCCGCAUACAUACACAACGGUAUCCUACCAGCCUUUUCCUGGGUGCCUGCGCUAAACUCUCUCCCCCACCCCGGUCUGGUCUCACACCUCGGCUGCUGGUUUGCCGCUGCCGCGCUGGCUGCUUGCUCGGGUCUCCAGCGGCGGGGCGAGCGCCCUCGCAGCGGCGGCCAAGUUGGGGAAAGUUGGAGCGCACGCCGCUCCAACUCCAGCGGGUCUCCCCGCGGCGCCACCACCGAGGGACCUCGGGGCUUCCCUUGUUUCCCUUCCCGAUCGGCCCACCCAGAGUUGGCUCCACCACCGCCCGAUGCCGGCUCUUGCAGUACGGGAAGAGCCCAAAGUUUUGCCUGCGGGAGAGCACAGGAGCAACUGCAGCCUUUUGCUUAGGAGCUGAGUGCUGACCGUGGCGAUCACACCGUUGCAGCGCUGUUUCUAUUGAUGGCAUAGAAGGAUCCAAAGCACGGACAGAACUAUGAAAGGCAGCAGCCCAACGUGUGUUGAAUUGAUUCUGGGUGGGAGUGCUGGAAUUGCAUGCCAAAUAUGGCCAGGGAAAAAAAAAUCUGCUGGUUCUGUUAAAAACAAAAGCAAAAAUAUUCCCAGCUCUUUUAGAACAAUGAGCCCAACCAACGUGCAGCUGUUUGCAGUGGCUUAUGAACAUUAAAACCUUCUGAAUUCUGCUCUUAGAAGUUUAAGGUUUCAUUUUUGGUCCCUGUUAUGAGAAUGAGUAAAGUGAACAAUAUUUGCAUUGAAUAAGUCUGAGCUUGUGUCUAUUGAGUGGUAAUGCUUUUAAAAAUCCUGCAUACAUUUUCUUUACAUUUUCAUCUGUGACUAUAAUAAUAGCAUUUUUCUUUGUCUGGUUGUACAAGGCGUCAUGAGAUCUAAUAGCAUUUAUGUACACUGUAGAUGACUGUGGCUGAUAUGUUCAUGCCAUUUAUUUAUGGCAUUUUCUCUAAUUGUCAGAUGCAGAAGACGAAGAAAACAUUUCAAAACAUGUUGGGAUUUUUUAAUGAAUGAAUGGAGGCAAAUCCCAUCUUCUAAGAUUAAAAAUGAGAUCCCACUCCUUGAAAUAGCCAUAGUUCUAUUAGUAGGAAUAUGAAUCUUGAGGACAAUUAACAAAUCUGGACUGCUCAAAAAAUAUGUAGUGGUUUUUUUUUUAAAGAUAAAAAUUAAAAACAGCUAGCAUUAUGCAUUAUCAAAGAGUGUGGAAUUUUUUUCCCCAUUAGCUGUUGUUUAAAAUAUGUCAGCUAGAAUCUCAUUGGAAAAAGGUAUUUCAGCUUUAACAUCUUGCAUUGGCCGCAUUCUUUCCCUUCAGUCUUUGGAUUAGUCAUUGUAUGGGGGGGGGGAUAACUUUUUUUAAAAAGUAAAGUAAACAGCCUCUAACAAGUGAACCUUGACAACCCAGAUUAAGGAAGGCAGUAGAGAUCAAACAAAGCUGCUGCUGGGCUGUUGUUAGGCGCUGCUUCACUGAAAGAUCUGGACUAUUCUAGCAGGCAGCAAGACUUCUAUGUCCACUUAUGCAGAAAUGGACCAUUGCAAAUACUGAUAUUUGUUGUGAAAACCUAAAGAUAGCUUGGGAGAAGGCCUGUUUGUGCUGUUAGGAGUGAAACUUUUAAACUUAGUUAAUUUAAGGAGAGGCAUUUUCUGGUUGGACUGAAUUGUAUACAGUAUUUGUGCUGCAUGGAUCUAUGACUGACUUCCUAAGACACCUGGAAGUGCAGAGAAGAGACCUGAGUUCCCAAGUAUAUGUGGGGCUUGGAGAUGGCAAAGAAAUGAUAAUAAAGUUCAGUUCUUCAGUUACA